This 1274-nucleotide long non-coding RNA is filed under the name Ananas comosus (pineapple). Its description in RNAcentral is "long non-coding RNA (ACOM_LNC030204)". The record is from RNAcentral. Lineage: Eukaryota; Viridiplantae; Streptophyta; Magnoliopsida; Poales; Bromeliaceae.
UAACUUCGGCUUUUACGCCAUUGAUUUCUAACCAAACAAAUAACAGAACUAAAAUACUUCAAUUUCACAACUAUAUAAAUAAACGUAACUUUACCUUUGACCGAAACUCGAGCUUCUGAAAAUAUUUUAUAAUAAGCAACAUCAGCUUUUAUACCUAUUCACUUCUAACCAAAACAAACAAUAGAAUUGAGAUAUUUCAACUCCACAGCUACACAAACAAAUAGCAAAAAAAAAGAGUAAUUUUCACAUGAACUCUAAUUAAUUUGGAAGUCUACUUUUAUCUCACUUUUACUGUUUAGUUCACUGUAACUCCACGUUUUGUCGAAACUCAAACUUUUAAAAAUAUUUAAACUUCAGCUUUUACGUUAUUCACUUCUAACGAAAUAAAGAAUAGAAUUAACAUACUUCAAUUCCACAACUAUAUAACAAACAUCGGGAAAAAAAAACAUAAGUAAUUUUCACGUGAAUUCUAAUUGAUCUGGACGUCUACUUUACUCUCGCUUUUGCUAUUUAGUUCACCGUAACUCCACCUUGGAUCGAAACUCAAACUUUACAAAAUACUUUAUAAUAGACAACUUCAACUCUCAUAACAUUCACUUCUGACCAAACAAACAAUAAAACUAAAAUACUUUAAUUACACAACUAUAUCUAUACCUAUCUAUACCUCUAUGCCUAUAUAUUAUUCUCCGUAAAGUUGCCACAUGACAAUAUUUCCUUCAUUGUUGGAUAUGAGUUUCACCCCGAACAGCUCAAGUCUUUCACAUACUUUUCUCUUUUUUUGUUUGAACCGAACCAAAUUUUUUUCUUUCUUUAUUUAAACUGAAUCAAUCAUUAUUCAGUGAGCUCCCGGAACCGGCUCAAGUCCUCUACAUAUUUUUCUUUUUCUUUGCUUGAACCAAAUAGGAUUUUUCGCUUUUUUUACUUGAACCGAAUCAGGUCACCUCACUAUAUAUGGAGCCAAACUGUGCCUCUUCCAUUUCCUUCGGCUGUUACCUUCUUUCAUCGGCAAAAUGAAUCACACCUCAUAUUGUCUCUUCUUCUAUCGUUGUUCCCUCUUCCUUUGUCGCCGUUUUCUAUUUUUCUCUAAUUAUCUACCCAUUGUAUCGCACAGAUCACUAUACUAGUAUAUAAACAAACAGCGAAAGAGAUGUAACGUUUACAUAAACUCGAGCUGAUCUGAAAGUCUACUUCAAUCUGAACUUCACGACCAACCAGAAACUUUACUUCCAAUCUUUUCCAUAUAUACUUAUUAUUCUAAGCAUCAUAUAUUUCUU